RNAcentral lists this ribosomal RNA (253 nucleotides) under uncultured bacterium. RNAcentral's name for it is "partial 16S ribosomal RNA". It matches the Rfam family "Bacterial small subunit ribosomal RNA", at positions 524 to 776 of the family's 1533-position model. The record is from RNAcentral.
GACGUAGGGCGCGAGCGUUGUCCGGAUUUAUUGGGCGUAAAGAGCUCGUAGGCGGCCUGUCACGUCGGAUGUGAAAGCCCGGGGCUUAACCCCGGGUCUGCAUUCGAUACGGGCAGGCUAGAGUUCGGUAGGGGAGAUCGGAAUUCCUGGUGUAGCGGUGAAAUGCGCAGAUAUCAGGAGGAACACCGGUGGCGAAGGCGGAUCUCUGGGCCGAUACUGACGCUGAGGAGCGAAAGCGUGGGGAGCGAACAGG